GUUGUAUAGUCAAGUAAUUAAGUGCAUGUGGUGGAUGCCUUGGCAGUCAGAGGCGAUGAAAGACGUGAUAGCCUGCGAAAAGCUUCGGGGAGGCGGCAAAUAUCCUGUGAUCCGGAGAUGUCUGAAUGGGGAAACCCACUUACCAUAAGGUAGGUAUUGCAUGAUGAAUACAUAGUCAUGCAAGGCGAACGAGGGGAAGUGAAACAUCUCAGUACCCUCAGGAAAAGAAAUCAAUUGAGAUUCCCUCAGUAGCGGCGAGCGAACGGGGAUCAGCCCAUUAAGUUAUGUGUGUUUUAGCGGAAUGCUCUGGGAAGUGCAACCGUAGAGGGUGAUAGUCCCGUACACGAAAGGGCACACAUAAUGAUGACGAGUAGGGCGAGGCACGUGAAACCUUGUCUGAAUAUGGGGGGACCAUCCUCCAAGGCUAAAUACUCCUGACUGACCGAUAGUGAACCAGUACCGUGAGGGAAAGGCGAAAAGAACCCCUGUGAGGGGAGUGAAAUAGAUCCUGAAACCGCAUGCAUACAAGCAGUGGGAGCACCUUCGUGGUGUGACUGCGUACCUUUUGUAUAAUGGGUCAGCGACUUAUAUUCAGUGGCGAGGUUAACCGAAUAGGGGAGCCGUAGAGAAAUCGAGUCUUAAUAGGGCGUCUAGUCGCUGGGUAUAGACCCGAAACCGGGUGAUCUAUCCAUGAGCAGGUUGAAGGUUGGGUAACACUAACUGGAGGACCGAACCCACCGUCGUUGAAAAGCCGGGGGAUGACUUGUGGAUAGGGGUGAAAGGCUAAUCAAACUCGGUGAUAGCUGGUUCUCCC
This 814-nucleotide ribosomal RNA is filed under the name Acinetobacter radioresistens. RNAcentral's name for it is "bacterial LSU rRNA". It matches the Rfam family "Bacterial large subunit ribosomal RNA", at positions 1 to 859 of the family's 2925-position model. Lineage: Bacteria; Pseudomonadati; Pseudomonadota; Gammaproteobacteria; Moraxellales; Moraxellaceae. The record is from RNAcentral.